Andrographis paniculata is the source of this 1802-nucleotide long non-coding RNA. RefSeq lists it as uncharacterized. NCBI's taxonomy places the organism in Eukaryota, Viridiplantae, Streptophyta, Magnoliopsida, Lamiales, Acanthaceae. The record is from RefSeq and is a predicted model, not a curated record. The transcript has 5 exons.
GAGUGUAUCGACAGCCGUCAUCACAAAGCACCUGCAUAUAAUAUCUCUCUCCAUUCACUCUCUAGACUCUUGUUCAUCUUCCGCUUUCUCUCUCUCGCUGCCGUUACCAAACCUCCAUUUUCUUCGUCGCUCUUUCCGCCAUCGCUGAUGGAUGCCGCCCCGCCGUCGUAGUCGUCCUCAGAGUUGUCGACAGGCGCCUCCACCGCUUUCGCAGAAUGGAGGAAUCCCUCCCCUCGCCAGGGCGAAUUAAAUCUCUCAACAAGGAGCAGAAGGCGCUCCUCAACUCCAAGCCGUCUCUUAUGGCCGCUGUAAAGGAGCUGGAGAAUCUCCUCCGCGCCUCUUCGCUUUCCCACGCUGUUGCCAGCGAAAUUGAACUUUCAUUCGCCUUGGUUAACGAAAGGGAAAGGGAAAAGAAGAAGGCGCGCGUUGCUGCUGUUUCCGAUCUCCUUAGUCUGCUGUACGCUGGAAAUAUUCUUGAUGUUAAUGAUCUGACGGGGAGACAGCAAUUUUUGAUGAUUCGGAUGUUGCAGAGGAGAGAAGCUCUUGUAGCUGUUUUCUGCAUGAUGCAUGAUUCCAUCAUCAAGCAAGAUUUUUGUCCUAAGAAGUUGGAUUUAGACCUGAUUAUUACGACCAUCAUUAUUUCCCUUUUCCUGGUUGGCUACUCAGCAUUGAUUCACAAACAUGCAUUCCCUAUCCCUUACUGCGUUGAGCUCCAUCAAAGAAAAUGUGGGGAAGCCCUCCAUCACUGACAGUUGGACGUGCAAGUCUAUGCAGAUUUGUAUGACAAACCUUGCAAUGAAGGCUGCUGCAUAGGCAUUCUCAGUCCUCAGCGUCAACAACAGGUGCCUCCAUGCUAUGCAAAAGAAACUCAACCGCAUUGACAGAAUGGAGGAGUCCCUCGCCAGGGAAAAAUCUCUCAAAAAAGAGCAGGAGGCGCUAUUCAACUCUAAUCCGUCCAUUCUGGCUGGAAUAAAGGAAUUGGAGAAUCUUCUCCCCUUGCUGUCCGGUCUGUUGGUGGGGAAUUUGAACUUUUGAAGUUCAAGAAUCUUCAAUGCCUUGGGUAGAGAAAGGGAAAGGGAAAAGGCACGCGUGACACCUGUUUCUGAUCUUACUAGCCUAUUGUACUUGGAGAAAGUUUUUGGCGUGAAGGAUUUGAUGAGGAUGCAGCAAUCUUUGAUGAUUAGAAUGCACGAGAGGAGCAGCUGCCUCUUACAUAAUUCUUUCAUUGGCUUGCGGGAUGAUUAAGAAAAUCUUUUAAAGGAGUUGGAUUUUGACCUGAUUAAUAUACCAUGAAAUUUGUUCGUUCCUUGGAUUGGCAACUUGUUGAUGCCUCACAAUCAUGUUUUGCGGAAAUGCAAUGGCUUGAUACUUCCGACUAGCCUAUUGAAGCUAGACUCAAUGUUUCUUGAGGACAAAUCACGGCAUUCUGAUGCCAAAAAAGAUGCAUGAUUAUGAAUUCUCCUACCAUACUACAAAUAAUUGUCAGGAAGGAUUAUAUAUGUAUGUAUAUAUAUAUAUAUCAGACCACAUGGCUCAUUCUCACCAGAGGAUACUUGAUCGUAGAAAGAUAUAUCAAAAUUCAAAGAAACUUGAGAAUGAUUACGCUCGAAGGAUUUGGUGCAGCCAAUUUUGUUGCCCAAAGUGGCAAAGGUUUGCUAAGCAACCUCAAUUCUACAAGUGUGUGUGUUUGGGAGCUUGUUGUGGCUAUCUUUUUUAGAUUUCUAUGAAGUUUUGUAUGAUAUAGUUAUCUGCAAUUCUUGUAAAUUUUUUUUACUUGAACUCUUGUCAACUGCCAUAUAUAA